GACGAACGCUGGCGGCGUGCUUAACACAUGCAAGUCGAACGAUGAAGCUGGAGCUUGCUCCGGUGGAUUAGUGGCGAACGGGUGAGUAACACGUGAGCAAUCUGCCCUUGACUCUGGAAUAACUGCGGGAAACUGUAGCUAAUACCGGAUACGUGGCUCGAAGGCAUCUUCGGGUCUGGAAAGAAUUUCGGUCAAGGAUGAGCUCGCGGCCUAUCAGCUUGUUGGUGAGGUAAUGGCUCACCAAGGCGACGACGGGUAGCCGGCCUGAGAGGGUGACCGGCCACACUGGGACUGAGACACGGCCCAGACUCCUACGGGAGGCAGCAGUGGGGAAUAUUGCACAAUGGGCGAAAGCCUGAUGCAGCAACGCCGCGUGAGGGAUGAAGGCCUUCGGGUUGUAAACCUCUUUUAGCAGGGAAGAAGCGAAAGUGACGGUACCUGCAGAAAAAGCACCGGCUAACUACAUGCCAGCCGCCGCGGUAA
This 483-nucleotide ribosomal RNA is filed under the name uncultured bacterium. RNAcentral describes it as "partial 16S ribosomal RNA". It matches the Rfam family "Bacterial small subunit ribosomal RNA", at positions 28 to 523 of the family's 1533-position model. The record is from RNAcentral.